GGGGAUGUAGCUCAGCUGGUAGAGUGCUUGCCUUGCAUGCACAAGGCCUGGGUUCAUUCCCCAGCACUGCCA
Non-coding RNA from Ictidomys tridecemlineatus (thirteen-lined ground squirrel), 72 nucleotides. NCBI's taxonomy places the organism in Eukaryota, Metazoa, Chordata, Mammalia, Rodentia, Sciuridae. The record is from Rfam.